This 362-nucleotide long non-coding RNA is filed under the name Triticum aestivum (bread wheat). RNAcentral describes it as "long non-coding RNA (TAES_LNC011461)". Lineage: Eukaryota; Viridiplantae; Streptophyta; Magnoliopsida; Poales; Poaceae. The record is from RNAcentral.
CUACACCAAAAUUAGUAUGAUGGACAAACAUUGCACUAGUAAAACUAAAACUAGUGAAUUGUUUGUGGGGGCCAUGACCCCCAUGACCAUCCGCCACUGACCCAGGGUACCUCAUGACACAACUCUUUAUAGGUGCACGUUCCAGGGUUGUUUUCCAAAUAAUUGGUUUCCGAAAUGAAGAACAAGAAUAUUGGUCAUAGGCUGUGGAAUGGUAAUGGAAGGACACAUUACCUUUGACUUGGUUAUACGCACGGGUGAGAGGCCUGAUGCUAUUACAUUUACUUAAGUUACCGGUGGAUAUUGCUUAGUUGUCAAGAUGUAAGAAGCUUUCAGAAUAUCUAAUGCUUAUGGUAUCGGUUGGU